AACCCAAUACAAAGACAUCUCGGCUAUGUAAGUUGGUGAGAAUCCAACGCGGUCCCGCCACUGUAAGAACAUCUUUGAUGUUUAAGUCAGAGCUUUAUUCGAGAAUGCUUAUACGCGCGCAUACUAUUUCAAGGUAAAAUAGUAUUGUUUA
RNAcentral lists this small RNA (151 nucleotides) under Jeotgalibaca dankookensis. Lineage: Bacteria; Bacillati; Bacillota; Bacilli; Lactobacillales; Carnobacteriaceae. The record is from RNAcentral.